UGCCUACGGGGGGCAGCAGUGGGGAAUAUUGGACAAUGGGCGCAAGCCUGAUCCAGCCAUGCCGCGUGAGUGAUGAAGGCCUUAGGGUUGUAAAGCUCUUUUGUCCGGGAAGAUAAUGACUGUACCGGAAGAAUAAGCCCCGGCUAACUUCGUGCCAGCAGCCGCGGUAAUACGAAGGGGGCUAGCGUUGUUCGGAAUCACUGGGCGUAAAGCGCACGUAGGCGGACCAUUAAGUCAGGGGUGAAAGCCUGGAGCUCAACUCCAGAACUGCCUUUGAUACUGAUGGUCUCGAGUAUGGAAGAGGUUGGUGGAACUGCGAGUGUAGAGGUGAAAUUCGUAGAUAUUCGCAAGAACACCAGUGGCGAAGGCGGCCAACUGGUCCAUUACUGACGCUGAGGUGCGAAAGCGUGGGGAGCAAACAGGAUUAGAUACCCGAGUAGUCCAU
Molecule: ribosomal RNA, 445 nt
Filed under: uncultured Hyphomicrobiales bacterium
Lineage: Bacteria; Pseudomonadati; Pseudomonadota; Alphaproteobacteria; Hyphomicrobiales
Description: bacterial SSU rRNA
Rfam family: Bacterial small subunit ribosomal RNA
Source: RNAcentral